UAAUUCAGCAAUUAAUCUACAUAACUUGAAGUAGGCUUGAAAGCAGAAAAGGGAUUAUGUUGGUAAUUCUAUUGGGUCCCCAUGAUACAAACAGAGAAUUUUGUUUUCAAAGUCUAAAUCAAAAACGUUGGUUUUACAAUUGCACUUAUAGUUUCCAAAGACUCAACUACAUUUCCUAUUUCGCAAUUUCUAUCACAGUUGUGAUGGAAAUUGCGAAAUAGGAAGCGCAGUUCAUUGUCUUUGACAUUAAAAAGGAAGUCGUCAUUUGAAGGAAAAAAGAGCACAUUAUCAUUUGCUGAUUGGGUAGACUGCAAACAGUGCACAACCUUUACUACAGUGAGCACUUCUCUUCGCUUUAGUUUAUGCAAUGCAACAGGGAAUUGCCACCAGAACAUUCAAGCAUAUCAACUUCUGAUCGGUAACAGACACACUGAGUGUUUGUCAACACUUCCAACUUUCCAAGGAUACUUCUCGAUACAAAUGGCAUUUCUCUUUGCUGCAGGAGCUGCAGCUUUAUUGGCAUUAAAACUUGUGCAAGACACAGAGGUGCAUCAUAUCUCUGUUGCAAAUUCAACCAUUCAACCCAUUGUUGUUGUUGUUGAAAACUCCAGGGGUAAAAAUCAAUCGAUAAUAGAAGCAGGGGAGUUUGUGCAAUUCACGGUGUCAUGUAACACACCCAUAUCUAUCAAAGUGAGAAAGCCGGAGAAAACUACCUACGACGCCGAGGUGAGCGAUUACGAACGUCGCAAUUUCAUUGUGAGAAAAGCGACAACAGGGGAAUUGGUCCUCGUUCGAGCUCAAAAAGGGAUGCAGUGGGAAGUUGAGCCUAACAGAACUAAUGAGGACUUGGGAAUGGCACGUGUUCGACAUGUCACAGAAGGGGAGCUGUAUUCUUCAUGGAGUCAUCCACAGGGUCGUCCAUCUUUCUAUGACGGGAAGAAUAACUCUGAUUAUUAUGCAUAGGCUUCCAGCCUCUAAAUCUAGUCUGGAGGAUAUCAGAAUAGCACGUGUUCGGCCAUUCACAGAAGAAGACCUGUAUGCUUCACAGAGUAGUCCACAUUGUUCAUCUUUCUUUGACGGGAAGAAUAGCUACAAUUAUCAUACAUAGGCUUCCAGCUUCUAAAUCUAUUCUUGUAAUGACAGUGGUGAAGUGGCGGAUCCAAGGUUCUCUGAUGAGGGGGGGGGGGGUUACAUCUAAAAGUUCCCUGACAAGCAAAAACAAGGAGGAAGUACGUACAGUGUGUAUCAUUCUUCUUCUUCUUUUUUUGCUCUCCCCCCUCCCCCAAUUAAAAUCUCUUCUUUGGCCGCCUGCAUGUGCCCCCCCCCCACCUUGUUGUUCAGACACCUUCUGUAACUUUUUUCAUAAAAUCUUGUAUAGAUCAUACCUAGGAACGAAUUUUUUUAUCAUUCCUUCAAAGGAAACCUCGACCUAACGAAUAAGUGUAGGUAUGCUCACUAUACUGAAAGAUGAGAUGCAUUCCUGCCUUUUGACGUAAAAUAUUCCUUAGAAAAGUUUACAAGAGAUAUAUAUUUGGCAUGUUUAUAAUUACAAUGCCAUUCAGCAUGUCAUGGCCGCAGUAAUUUUCUUGAUAAUGUGAUAUACCAGGCAAACUUGUACAUGUACAUGUAUUAUGCACCAAAGCUUUACCGGUAGUUGGAAAUACAAUAACAAAGCUUUUACUUAUCAAUGAGGGAAAUUGUAGCUGUGAAGGUAAACAAAAAAAUGAUGAAAAAGAUAUAAGAGGGGAACAAUUGUAACUUGU
This is a long non-coding RNA of Strongylocentrotus purpuratus (purple sea urchin), 1763 nucleotides long. RefSeq lists it as uncharacterized. The transcript is spliced from 3 exons. Lineage: Eukaryota; Metazoa; Echinodermata; Echinoidea; Camarodonta; Strongylocentrotidae. The record is from RefSeq and is a predicted model, not a curated record.